RNAcentral lists this ribosomal RNA (241 nucleotides) under Bacillus subtilis. RNAcentral describes it as "partial 16S ribosomal RNA". It matches the Rfam family "Bacterial small subunit ribosomal RNA", at positions 591 to 831 of the family's 1533-position model. The record is from RNAcentral. Lineage: Bacteria; Bacillati; Bacillota; Bacilli; Caryophanales; Bacillaceae.
GAUGUGAAAGCCCCCGGCUCAACCGGGGAGGGUCAUUGGAAACUGGGGAACUUGAGUGCAGAAGAGGAGAGUGGAAUUCCAAGUGGGGCGGUGAAAUGCGUAGAGAUUUGGAGGAACACCAGUGGCGAAGGCGACUCUCUGGUCUGUAACUGACACUGAGGCGCGAAAGCGUGGGGAGCAAACAGGAUUAGAUACCCUGGUAGUCCACGCCGUAAACGAUGAGUGCUAAGUGUUACGCCGC